ACUAACUACAUAUGUCAGAUACAUGUAAUGGUGUAAAAAGUAAAAGCUUUUUCAAUGAAAUGUAGUGGAUAAAGUAACAUAAAAUAGAUAUACUCAAGUAAAGUACCUCAAUAUUCAAUAUGUAAGUAAGUGCUUUUCUAAGAAGAUGACACAAACUGACACAUGCAAUCCUCUGUGGAGCUUCUUUACCUCAUUAGGAUUCUGCCCGGCUUCCAGCUGAGCUUUGGCCUGGCCGAGGGCGCCAUCUCUCUCCGACAGGCCAUCGGAAGCCUGCGCAGGAUCAGUGUUGUCCGCCGGGAUCUCCGACCCCUGAGAGAGGAGGUCGUCGCUGCGGUCGUCCAACCUGUCGUCCGUGUUCGUGCUGACCACGUCGGGAGUACCGCUGUGAGAGUGGUCGGUGGUGUGGCCCUCCUCGCCGUCCGACACCGACAGGUUCUCUGAGCUGAAAGUGGACACCGACUGGCACUUGGUGAUGCUGGUCGGGCGCCUGGAGGGAUUCAAAAGAAACAACAAGGAAACCAAAUUUUUAAAUCACAGAAUUGAUAAUAAGCGUAAGAAUGACACAAAUAACAAAUCUUUCUUCUCUGAAUAAAUCAGCAACUUGUCAGAGAGAGAAGAUAUCUUGAGGGAAUUUUCCAGUGACGAAGGACAGCAAGUUACUCACCGUCUCCGUGGUAACUCAACCUCACUGUCAACUUCACCCUCCUCCUCUUCUGAUGACACUCCACGCCUCUGUAAUAAGAAACAGGAAAAAUGUUCAAAGUGAAAAUGAUCAAAGUAUAACCAGAGGAACGCUGAGGAGUGUGAACACGUAUCCAGCACUGUACCUGUUUGCGUGUGAUAGCUGCCCUGUAUAGAAUGGCUGAAGGAGUGAGGUGCUGACUCCCAAUUCCCCCUGAUGCCCCCCGGGGCAACCGCACAGCACCAGCUCCCUCCUCCUUAUCCUCCCCAUCAUGCGGCAAACGUGGAGAUCCCAGAGACCCCCGCCCUGCUGCCGCCCCCCUCCCACAUGGUGAGUCUGGGCUGCUGGAGAACGGGAACGAUGCAGCAUCCUCGCUUGGCGUGUCGCUGCGUGGAGGAGUUUCUGUAAAAUCAUCAAGACCAGCUGCCCCCACCUCGGAUCCCCCUAACCCUGCAGAGGCACUGAGGCUCCCCCCUCUCUCCAGCCCGCCCACAGAGGCCUCCCCUUUCCCCUGGCCCUCUGCCUCUAGCGUGGUGCAAAUGAGGUCAGGGCUGGAGGAGGAUAGCUGCCUCUGCUGCUGCUCGUGGCUGAGGCCCCGCAGGGCUGCAGAGGGCUCCAGGAGCUGCUUGGAGGUGUUAGUGGUAGAACUGUUUGCCUGGGCAGUUGUGUCUCUAUUAGGGGAGGACUGAUUUGCCUUAAGUCCAGCCAGGUCCCCACUGCUGCCCUUACCGGACUUGCGAUGGCGGGUCUUUACCCUCCGAGACCGGCUGGGAGAAGUGGAGCUUCUGUUGGGGCAGGCUGGGAUAGUGACCUGCAUCACGGAGGAAUCCAUUUUGGGAAUGAUUACCUCAGACUUGAGGAUGUCUGGCCUGAAAGUGUAGGAGGGAUUAGUCAACAACUACAAUCCACAAGCCUAAUGAAUAUUCAUUUAUCCACUUCAGUAUCAAUAUUUUAUCAAAUAACGCACGAAAUGAGAUCUCACACCUCUUUGCCGAAGGCAGUUUCUGGGGGACAUUUCUCUUCUUGAUGAGUUUGUCCAUGGAGUUGGAGGAGCUGCUCUGCCUGGAGCUGUGGUGCUUAAACAAACCUGGAUACUUCUUAUCCAAAGACUGCUCUCUCCUGGGAAGAAAAUACCAAAUGACCUCAAAGUGUAAAUGCAUUGUAGUUUAUUAAUUAUGUAAAUAAUGUUAGCAUUUAACAAAAAUAUACCCAUAGAUUUAUUUUUACCUCUGCAACUCUUUCUCUUUGAGCUCCAGUUGCAGCAUGACGGCGCUGAGCUCCAUGUAAAGGUUGUUAGCUCUCUCCAGUUUCCUCUCAUAGUGCUCGCGAAUGUCCAAAGCAUGCCUGAGAAGAAAAGAGGCUGCUGAUGUCAUUGUGCAUCCGCAUGACAGAUUCCAAAUCCUCCACAAUAGACAUGCACUCAAGGCACUUAUUUCAUCCACAGUGCGGACAAAGGAUUAACAUGGAGAAAUGGGACAGAGUGAAAGUGGCCUCAUACAUGUAAGCUAACAUAGUAAAAAGUACCAUCAUCUACUGGUUGGACACCCUUAGUUACCAUGAAACUGUGUAUGUGAGAUCCAAAAGUAAAAAUCAGACCUGAGCUCCUCUCUGCGUCGGUUAAUCAGCUCCUCAUCGAGCCGGUGGAGACAAGUACCCUCAGAUUUAAUCUUCUCAAAGUGCUGUUUCACCUCUUCUCGCCAUUCAGCCUGAUGAGAGCACAUUUCUGUUAACCAGCUCCUUUCUAGCCAGAGCUGACUACUUUUGUAUGGCCAUUACUGUCUGAUGUCUGAUUACUGUGCAAGCAUGUGGGGAUGCAUGUGCAUUUGUGUACAUCCUGUCUGCAUAUUUAAAUGUAUGAUUUGUAUGUCUUUCCAUCUACUGAUCUUCAAUAUUCAGAUUCGGAGACGAAACCAUACCUGAGACUUGAAGUAUGUCUCUUGUGGAGUGGACAGUACAUCAGCUGACGCUAUAUCCAGAUGAAGUAGGAUCUGACGGAAAGAGGGCCUGUUCCUGGGCUUGCAGUUCCUGCAAAUUAAAGACGGGAAAGACGGCUGUGGACAUUACAUUUGCAGUGCACUGCAUUACUCACCAGCACUGCCUGAGGAGGAUCUUGAAGCCAUCAGGGCAGCUCUCGGGUACGGGUAGCUGAAGGCUGUUGUUUCCCACACCCCAGAUGAUGGCAGACGAGUCCACAUCUUUAUAAGGGAUCUCUCCAGUUAACAUCUCCCACAGCACCACUCCGAAGGACCUUAAAGUUAAGCCAAGUUUUAUUAAAUCAGGAAGGACACUGAGGUCAAGAUCUCUCCAAUAAAAGGACACUGGCUCAUUCCGAAUGACUUCAGGAGCCAUCCAAGCUACAGUGCCGGCAAAUGACAUCUUGGUGCUCUUGUCACUGAGCUCCUUUGAGGUGCCAAAGUCAGAGAUCUUUACCAGGUCAUCAUGUGUAAUCAGCAUGCUGCAAAGCCACGUCUUCUCCAUGGAACUUGCCGAGGAAGACAGCCCCCUGCGCCCCACUGCCCACCCACUGCAGGUCGGAGAUUUCCUCAAAAGGAACCUCCCAGGACUCUAAACGCAGACCAACAAGCCAACAAAAACAAACUCGAGUAAAUGCGAAGUCAUGAAGAGUUA
Micropterus dolomieu (smallmouth bass) is the source of this 3310-nucleotide long non-coding RNA. RefSeq lists it as uncharacterized. NCBI's taxonomy places the organism in Eukaryota, Metazoa, Chordata, Actinopteri, Centrarchiformes, Centrarchidae. The transcript is spliced from 4 exons. The record is from RefSeq and is a predicted model, not a curated record.